UACGUAGGUGGCAAGCGUUGUCCGGAUUUAUUGGGUUUAAAGGGUGCGUAGGCGGCUUUGUAAGUCAGUGGUGAAAUCUCCGGGCUUAACCCGGAAACUGCCAUUGAUACUAUUUGUCUUGAAUACCGUGGAGGUCAGCGGAAUAUGUCAUGUAGCGGUGAAAUGCUUAGAUAUGACAUAGAACACCAAUUGCGAAGGCAGCUGGCUACACGAAUAUUGACACUGAUGCACGAAAGCGUGGGGAUCAAACAGG
Molecule: ribosomal RNA, 253 nt
Filed under: uncultured bacterium
Lineage: Bacteria
Description: partial 16S ribosomal RNA
Rfam family: Bacterial small subunit ribosomal RNA
Source: RNAcentral